Podarcis lilfordi (Lilford's wall lizard) is the source of this 76-nucleotide non-coding RNA. NCBI's taxonomy places the organism in Eukaryota, Metazoa, Chordata, Lepidosauria, Squamata, Lacertidae. The record is from the annotation of a GenBank genome assembly.
GCCAGUACGGUGUAGUGGUUAGCAUGCUGGACUAGUACCUGGGAGACCAGGGUUCAAAUCCCUAACCCCUGGGCCA